This is a long non-coding RNA of Panicum virgatum (switchgrass), 3779 nucleotides long. RefSeq lists it as uncharacterized. The record is from RefSeq and is a predicted model, not a curated record. The transcript has 2 exons. Lineage: Eukaryota; Viridiplantae; Streptophyta; Magnoliopsida; Poales; Poaceae.
GAGCUCCACUCCAAGGUGAAGCCGUAGUGCUUAGAAAUGGGGAAAGAGUGAGGGGUAGUUCGGAGGGGCGCCGGCCUGUCGGCGCUCUUCUCCAACUUGUACCUCGACGGAUGAUUCUUUCUUAAGUAAGUGUUCGUGAUCUUCUAUGGUAGUUAGUGUUUUAGUAAAGUAAGUUUUAUUCUUUAUUUGCUUGCGGGAUCAUCGCCCGUUCUAGUGACGGGUGUUCUAUCCUAUGGACUCGAGUCUUGAGACAGAGACUGGCCGGGGCUAGAAUAGUAAUCAAUAGCAUGAUGUCUAGGCUUGAGGUUACCUUUGUUUGCAUCCCUUCCCCACAGUCUGUCUGGGUAGGCGGCAGGUGGUGAUAGCCCUGUCCGUCCUUCGUAGUCCCCUAUGUUCGGGUUGGGUGUAGAGGUAAUAGCCGGAUACUCUUGGCAGACCAAGAGUAAGCCGGUGCCCGAAGUGAGCAAGUAGAGGUGGAACCUAUUAUUACUAGCACUCUAAUCCAUAGGAAUCCUCUCUAUCCUCACCUACCUACCUCUUGUUUGUCCUUGGACGAACCUGUUAGAAGGUUAGUACCUCCGUUCCUUGUGGAAAUACGAUACCCUGAAUACUCACGGGUGAAGUGCUACAACGGUAUCUCCGUACGCUUGUGGAUCAUUCUGUGAACAUUAAGAAAUACCAAUGAGCAUUUCUGGCGCCGUUGCCGGGGAACGGUUGCUGUAUUGCCGUCGAAUCUAGUUCGUCCUCGUAUAUUUUCAAAACAAAACAAAAAAAAAUCUGUUUUCUUUUUUCUUUAGCUCUACCUUCACCCCUGCUACCCAUUUAAAUCUCGUAUCUUUUUGCUUUUCUUAUUUCUACCUCUACCCCCGCUACCCUUGGAAGGUUAUCCUCGUACACACCUUCCAUCCCUGUGGGGUGAGUCUUUAGAGCCAUCCUCUCUGGACUUAGUUCCUUAUCCGGCUACGAGAUUCACCCUCACGUCUUAUCGAUCGAUGCCAAUCAAAUCAAGUGAAUCAAAGUUCAUUUAUUAAUCCUUUAUUUUGAUUGAUUCCCAAUAGAAGUUAUGUUCACCCUUCCUAUCAAAUGAACUUCUAUUGGAAGCUUAGGAUGGAUUGUUUUGCCACCACGUUCAUCUUUGAUGAAAUGCAAGGCUUUCUACCUAAGGAGGGGAUGAGUUGAAAGAAAUUCAUUUCCCUCGUGACCCGAAGUCGGAAUUGUUCAGUUGGCCCACAGAGUUACACAUCCUCUUUCACUAUGGGACCAUGAACAUUAUUGAGUUGCUCUAUCCGGAGAUCAAGCCAUGCUCAUCCUUUGAUAUCUCCAAGACCUUUCUUCUUUUGUGCCAAGUUGUUGCGAGUCUUAUGAUCAUCUUAGGGUUUCCUACCAUAGAUGCCCUUUAGGAUGGUUGUUUGUGGUUCUUCUUAUCAUAAUAUCUAUGCAGGGCUCGUUGUUGUAUUUGUGCACUAACCUUGCAGCUUGAACAACGAUAAAUCAACAAAUGGUGGUAAAGCUGGGAAUUACAUCACCAUUGAUAGCUGUAGGAGGAAUCCCCAUGGUCGAGCUUGCGACCAUAAACAAAGCAUUGCCGGGAGAUAGCCCAGAGCAACAUAAAAAAUAAUCUUUCUCCUAAACAAAAAAAAGUAAGAACAUGUUUUUAAGCAUAGUACGCACCUUCGGGUAUUCUUGGUCCUAACCAUUUCAGGUGAUGAUUAAGAAGAACAGGGGACAUACGAUGCCCAAGAACAUGAGACAGCAUUAGCUGAACACUUUGAUGCUCUUUGGAGUUGGAACACACUCGAAAGGAGAUCAUGAAAUUGCACACUUGACUUCCACAUAAAAGUCCAAGUGCGGGGGAAAUCACUGAGCGUCUCGCUGCAAGUUCUAGCCAACCAAAGGAGUAUCCUUGUUUCAAGGUGUCAGCCUUGCCUUGCUUGAAAAGAAAAAGAGAGAGAGAGAGAAAAAAAAGAGAGAGAUAAAAAAAGAAGAAAAAAAAGAAACAAAUAAUGAGAGAUAAAGGAAGAAGGAAGGUGUGGGAGAGAGCCGGCAACCUUCACAUAAAACUCCAUCUGGUCCUGGCUCCACAGACUCAAGCAGCUCACGCACGCACACAAUUAAGAAAAUACUCCGCUUCCUUUCCAGGCCUUUGCUGCUCCAUUCAACACACCAUCACCGUAGCAACUCCAAGAUAUCCAUCCUAUAUGCUGACGGUAUGUAAACUCGGGUAAGCAAAGGUAAGGUUCACCAAUCCUUUACUCAUCCUUAUCUCCAUAGAACUUGAUCAUGCAAAACUCUUGCUUCCUUUGUUUAUGUUCGUAUGCUCUGGUUUGGAUGUAUUUGGAUGGUACAUCCAUAGGCUUUUUAAAUUAAGUGUGGUGCUUAGGUUAAAUAGCCUUCUUUAAUUAAGUUUGACAUGGUGUUGAAUUUUGAUUAAUGAACUUUGGGGUAAUACUACCAUAAACUUUGGAUGCAUGUCUUUUUGGCAAAACCCCUGCAAGAAAGUUUUCAAAUUUGUUGGGUAAAGUCACCAAGUUCAUGCUUGAGAUAACAAGGCCCUUUUCUUGCGCUUCAAAUAAUAAAAUUUGCACAACAUAAAAAAAGGCAUAUGUCUGUGUAGUUUUAUCUCAGCCUUGUUUGAGUUUUGCUGAAAGGAUAAAAAAAAUUUGGUGAACUUUAAAUAAAUAAAAAAACCUCUUUGCUAAAAAAAGUGAAUCUCUCUCUCAAAGAAAAAAAUUUUUGGCAAGCAUUCUGGGAUCCGUGCUCUUUAUAACUUUGAACCUGAUUUUCCUUAAAGCAUGGAUGUGAACAACAAAUCUAAAAAAAACAUUUCUAAAUUCUUUAAGCAUUCCUAGAGUAUUUGUUGUCCACUAACAUUUUGUAGGGAAGAAAAUAAACAACCAAGGAGCAGCAUACAAUAACUCCAUCAUCAACACAACGCUCCUUGGUCACAUGAGAAGAUAGAUGCACGAGGAACCAAACCGAACAAAUGCAAAGCUUUGCUUCAUGUAUAUGAACCAAACAUGUUGCACAUCAUCGACGGUUCAGCAUGCUAAAGAAUAGGACAGAAGGAAUCCAAGGAGGGAUGGUCGAGCUUUUGGCUCGACUAAACCACCUGUGACUUCAUGCGGUUCCCUCUUCUUCCUUCUUCAACGAUGGAGACCAUGUCUGCAUACGGAGGAAAAUCGUGCUCAAACAAAGAUAAAGGUACACUUCAAAGAAUUGUCUGAGAGCACAAGAAUUGGAGGGCCACGCCACAAAUCAAUUCAACCUCCAAGUCCAAGUAAAAAGACACUUCUGACAAAUCAGAGGCAGAUACAAGGAUCCAAGGGCCAAAUGACAUACCAAACCAAACAAAACUUCAAGGGAACACAAAGGAGCAACACCAGGGCCCACCUAUCAGUUGUCCAGAGGAAGGAGGGCCCGAGGGGGCGCCAUUUGGGGCCGGCCGACCCAUUGGGUAGUCGGACCCCUUACUAAGCCCAAAUAGGCCCAUCUUUUGCAUGCAGACUCCCACCACACUACCUAUGCCAGCCCCCCAUGGUUCCACCUCGGAAGUUCACUCAAGGAUCGACCCUUGGAGGGCUAUGUAAGGAGGAGGAGGAGAGCCCCCCCAUUCAACACACAACAAGAGAAGCAAAGAGGUCCACUCCAAGGCGAAGUCGUAGUGCUUAGAAAUGGGAAGAGAGUGAGGGGUAGUUCGGAGGGGCGCCGGCCUGUCGGCGCUCUUCUCCAACUUGUACCUCGACGGAUGCUUCUUUCUUAAGUAAGUGUUCGUGAUCUUC